Molecule: long non-coding RNA, 390 nt
Filed under: Setaria italica (foxtail millet)
Lineage: Eukaryota; Viridiplantae; Streptophyta; Magnoliopsida; Poales; Poaceae
Description: long non-coding RNA (SITA_LNC004892)
Source: RNAcentral
GCAGGGAUCUCAGAUCUGUGUUCCCCGCUUGGUUCCAAGGUAUGAAUCCAUGUUCUUGGUUAGGGUUAUUUUUUCCUGUUUAUUUCUAUCAUUUUCUUAAGGUAUGAAUCCAUGUUGCUUAGGGUUCUAACGUAUGAAUCCAUGUUGUUGGUGCUAGGUUGCAGAUCUGCUGUCGGUUGUUUGUUCGUCUGCAUCAUUGUUUGGGUGCUUGCCGUCCUCGUUCGGUAUAAGCAAUCCUCCCCUCCCUGUCCAUCAUUUCUGAUGAAUGCGGGUGCUAUCGAUGCUGAUUGCGUGCGCUACAGAUCUGAUAAUGCUAUUUUUUCUGAGCUUAUGUCCAAGUCAAUGAUGUUUUCUCUUUUAAUCUGAGCAUAUGUCCAUGCCAAUGCUGAU